Non-coding RNA from Macaca mulatta (Rhesus monkey), 653 nucleotides. NCBI's taxonomy places the organism in Eukaryota, Metazoa, Chordata, Mammalia, Primates, Cercopithecidae. The record is from RefSeq and is a predicted model, not a curated record.
CUUGGGAAGGAGGUCUCUUUACUUUUUAUUUGAAAAGGAAUUGUUUUUGUUAUUUUCCUAAACCUGGAGAGUGACGGAAGCCAUCCUUGAGGAGUCAAGAUAAACUCUAGAUGUAAGCUGAAUGGUCACCAGGUCACGGAAUUCCACCGGGAAUGGGAAGAUCCUCUGGAGUAGCACGCAAAGUCCUGCUAUCUGCAUUCUGUGGUUGGAGUGAGUUGGGUCAGCCCACCAAUGUAUUUCCUCAUUAGACAUUGACAAACAUGGAAGAAAAACAGUGGAAGAAUUAGAAGAGAAUAUGGAAGCAGAAUGUGAUCUGGAGUCAUGUUUAGUGACCACAGCAGCUUUUGCAAAAUUAUGGAAUUUCUGAGUUCUAGAACCAUGUAGUCAUCAUUGAAGCAUGUAGAACACAACACUAGGAAAAAUGGAAAGGCUCCUUAUUGGAGGGAUGGGCUGAAGAACAAGGACGGUGUCAAGAUGGGCAUUUUUUCUGUGCAUAGCGAAUUGGGAGGCAAAGAAAACUGCUGAAAAAAAUUGACGAUGCACCUUAAGUUGAAAAGCUGACUUCCACCUCCUGGGCAACGUGGCUCGGGGUUGUGCUCAGCUAAGACAAAACUGAUGUCAACACCAGGAAUGAAGGACAAAUCUGUGGCUUA